This 499-nucleotide long non-coding RNA is filed under the name Macaca mulatta (Rhesus monkey). Its description in RNAcentral is "lncRNA (ENSMMUG00000064291.1)". The record is from RNAcentral. Lineage: Eukaryota; Metazoa; Chordata; Mammalia; Primates; Cercopithecidae.
CUGGCUCCAUCUCAGGCUUUGCUCUCUAGUGAAUUGUCCUUCUUACUCUUCCUGGAGCAAAGGCCUGCAACGAGUCAUUUGCAUGGAUGCUUCCAAAGAAAUCACACCAAAAUGCCUAUCAACUCCCUCCCACCUCCCCGGGCGCCCUGUGAUCUUAUUUCGAGCAUUUUACAACGUACAUGUGCAGAGUUGGGCUUUAUUACAGACCAGUGAUACCAGGUACCAAAAUCUGAAAACUACACUGGGUUUAGUUCUGGAGACCCUGGUGAUCCCUUCCUUCCAAUCAAUUGAUCUUCCUUCUGUGGAAGAAUUGAAUAGAGAACUUUCCAUGAAGGUGAAACGUCAUCCUUUGAUCUCCAAUCCAUCCACUAUGCACCUGGACUGGACUAGCCUCAGGACACCAAGAUGGGACCUGAUUCCAGCAUUCAAGCAACUCCAUGUCUGUACAUACAAAACAUGAUUAAAAGGCAAUCAAAUAAAGACCACCGCCCCUUCUUCC